GAUGAACGCUAGCGACAGGCCUAACACAUGCAAGUCGAGGGGCAGCACGGUGUAGCAAUACACGGGUGGCGACCGGCGCACGGGUGAGUAACGCGUAUGCAACCUGCCUACUACAAGGGGAUAACCCGUUGAAAGACGGACUAAUACCCUAUAACACAGGGAAUCCGCAUGGAUAUAUUUGUUAAAGAUUUAUCGGUAGUAGAUGGGCAUGCGUUCCAUUAGCUUGUUGGUGAGGUAACGGCUCACCAAGGCAACGAUGGAUAGGGGAACUGAGAGGUUGAUCCCCCACACUGGAACUGAGACACGGUCCAGACUCCUACGGGAGGCAGCAGUGAGGAAUAUUGGUCAAUGGACGAGAGUCUGAACCAGCCAAGUCGCGUGAAGGAAGACGGCCCUACGGGUUGUAAACUUCUUUUGUAAGGGAAUAAAUAGUCUUACGCGCUAAGACGUUGCAGGUACCUUACGAAUAAGGAUCGGCUAACUCCGUGCCAGCAGCCGCGGUAAACAUA
This 509-nucleotide ribosomal RNA is filed under the name uncultured bacterium. Its description in RNAcentral is "bacterial SSU rRNA". It matches the Rfam family "Bacterial small subunit ribosomal RNA", at positions 28 to 529 of the family's 1533-position model. The record is from RNAcentral.